UACGUAGGGUGCGAGCGUUAAUCGGAAUACUGGGCGUAAAGCGUGCGCAGGCGGUGAUGUAAGACAGGUGUGAAAUCCCCGGGCUUAACCUGGGAACUGCAUUUGUGACUGCAUCGCUGGAGUGCGGCAGAGGGGAUGGAAUUCCGCGUGUAGCAGUGAAAUGCGUAGAUAUGCGGAGGAACACCGAUGGCGAAGGCAAUCCCCUGGGCCUGCACUGACGCUCAUGCACGAAAGCGUGGGGAGCAAACAG
RNAcentral lists this ribosomal RNA (250 nucleotides) under uncultured bacterium. RNAcentral's name for it is "partial 16S ribosomal RNA". It matches the Rfam family "Bacterial small subunit ribosomal RNA", at positions 524 to 775 of the family's 1533-position model. The record is from RNAcentral.